Molecule: transfer RNA, 108 nt
Filed under: Euhalothece sp. KZN 001
Lineage: Bacteria; Bacillati; Cyanobacteriota; Cyanophyceae; Chroococcales; Halothecacae
Description: tRNA-Lys
Rfam family: tRNA
About the family: Transfer RNA (tRNA) molecules are approximately 80 nucleotides in length. Their secondary structure includes four short double-helical elements and three loops (D, anti-codon, and T loops).
Source: RNAcentral
GGGCCGGUAGCUCAGUCAGGCAGAGCGUCUGGCUUUUAACGGGUGGGCAUGCGUGCCAGCUCGGAAGAUACCAGACGGUCGGGGGUUCAACUCCCUCCCGGCCCGUCA